CCUACGGGGGGCUGCAGUGAGGAAUAUUGGACAAUGGGCGAAAGCCUGAUCCAGCAACGCCGCGUGGAGGAUGAAGGCCUUCGGGUCGUAAACUUCUUUAGAGGGAGACGAGAAAGGACGGUAUCCCUAGAAUAAGCGACGGCAAACUACGUGCCAGCAGCCGCGGUAACACGUAGGUCGCGAGCGUUAUCCGGAUUUACUGGGCGUAAAGCGCUUGUAGGCGGUUCUGUAAGUCGGGCGUGAAAUCUCCGGGCUUAACCCGGAGUGGCCGUUCGAUACUGCAGGGCUUGAGGAUGCUAGAGGGUGGUGGAAUUCCAGGUGUAGUGGUGAAAUGCGUAGAUAUCUGGAGGAACAUCCGUGGCGAAGGCGGCCACCUGGGGCAUUCCUGACGCUGAGAAGCGACAGCUAGGGGAUCAAACGGGAUUAGAUACCCCGGUAGUC
This 441-nucleotide ribosomal RNA is filed under the name uncultured bacterium. RNAcentral describes it as "bacterial SSU rRNA". It matches the Rfam family "Bacterial small subunit ribosomal RNA", at positions 338 to 795 of the family's 1533-position model. The record is from RNAcentral.